AUUGAACGCUGGCGGCAGGCCUAACACAUGCAAGUCGAGCGAACCUAGCUUGCUAGGUGAGCGGCGAACGGGUGAGUAACGCGUAGGAAUCUGCCUGGUAGUGGGGGACAACGUUCCGAAAGGAACGCUAAUACCGCAUACGCCCUACGGGGGAAAGCAGGGGAUCUUCGGACCUUGCGCUAUCAGAUGAGCCUGCGUCGGAUUAGCUAGUUGGUGGGGUAAAGGCCUACCAAGGCGACGAUCCGUAACUGGUCUGAGAGGAUGAUCAGUCACACCGGAACUGAGACACGGUCCGGACUCCUACGGGAGGCAGCAGUGGGGAAUAUUGGACAAUGGGGGCAACCCUGAUCCAGCCAUGCCGCGUGUGUGAAGAAGGCCUUCGGGUUGUAAAGCACUUUAGGUCGGGAGGAAGGUUCGCUGGCUAAUAUCCAGCGGAAUUGACGUUACCGACAGAAUAAGCACCGGCUAACUCCGUGCCAGCAGCCGCGGUAAUACGGAGGGUGCGAGCGUUAAUCGGAAUUACUGGGCGUAAAGCGCGCGUAGGCGGCUUGAUAAAUCGGGUGUGAAAUCCCUGGGCUUAACCUGGGAACUGCAUCCGACACUGUCAGGCUAGAGUGUGGGAGAGGGUGACGGAAUUCCCGGUGUAGCGGUGAAAUGCGUAGAUAUCGGGAGGAACAUCAGUGGCGAAGGCGGUUGCCUGGCCCAACACUGACGCUGAGGUGCGAAAGCGUGGGUAGCAAACAGGAUUAGAUACCCUGGUAGUCCACGCCGUAAACGAUGUCGACUAGCCGUUGGGAACCUUAGAGUUUCUUGUGGCGCAGCUAACGCGAUAAGUCGACCGCCUGGGGAGUACGGCCGCAAGGUUAAAACUCAAAUGAAUUGACGGGGGCCCGCACAAGCGGUGGAGCAUGUGGUUUAAUUCGAUGCAACGCGAAGAACCUUACCACCCCUUGACAUCCUGCGAACUUUCUAGAGAUAGAUUGGUGCCUUCGGGAACGCAGAGACAGGUGCUGCAUGGCUGUCGUCAGCUCGUGUUGUGAAAUGUUGGGUUAAGUCCCGUAACGAGCGCAACCCUUGUCCUUAGUUGCCAGCGAGUAAUGUCGGGAACUCUAAGGAGACUGCCGGUGACAAACCGGAGGAAGGUGGGGACGACGUCAAGUCAUCAUGGCCCUUACGGGGUGGGCUACACACGUGCUACAAUGGCCGGUACAGACGGUUGCAAACCCGCGAGGGGGAGCCAAUCCGAGAAAACCGGUCGUAGUCCGGAUUGCAGUCUGCAACUCGACUGCAUGAAGUCGGAAUCGCUAGUAAUCGCGGAUCAGAAUGCCGCGGUGAAUACGUUCCCGGGCCUUGUACACACCGCCC
Molecule: ribosomal RNA, 1365 nt
Filed under: uncultured bacterium
Lineage: Bacteria
Description: bacterial SSU rRNA
Rfam family: Bacterial small subunit ribosomal RNA
Source: RNAcentral